UGGGGAAUAUUGCACAAUGGGCGCAAGCCUGAUGCAGCCAUGCCGCGUGUGUGAAGAAGGCCUUCGGGUUGUAAAGCACUUUCAGCGAGGAGGAAGGUGGUGGACUUAAUACGUUCAUCAAUUGACGUUACUCGCAGAAGAAGCACCGGCUAACUCCGUGCCAGCAGCCGCGGUAAUACGGAGGGUGCAAGCGUUAAUCGGAAUUACUGGGCGUAAAGCGCACGCAGGCGGUUUGUUAAGUCAGAUGUGAAAUCCCCGGGCUCAACCUGGGAACUGCAUUUGAAACUGGCAAGCUAGAGUCUCGUAGAGGGGGGUAGAAUUCCAGGUGUAGCGGUGAAAUGCGUAGAGAUCUGGAGGAAUACCGGUGGCGAAGGCGGCCCCCUGGACGAAGACUGACGCUCAGGUGCGAAA
Molecule: ribosomal RNA, 411 nt
Filed under: uncultured bacterium
Lineage: Bacteria
Description: partial 16S ribosomal RNA
Rfam family: Bacterial small subunit ribosomal RNA
Source: RNAcentral